GUGAAAUUGUUGAAAGGGAAACGCUUGAAACCAGUCAUGCGGUUGGGAAAUCAGUCUCUGACGGGGGGGAAUGGGGGAGUUGUGGACCGCAAGGCCGCUCUUUUUCAUAUUUCUUUUGGCAGGGAUGCACUUUUUCUUCUGCAGGUCAACAUCAGUUUGCUUUGCCGGACAAAACUUGGGGGAAGGUGACAGCUUAGGCUGUGUUAUAGCCCUCGAGCGAUACGGUGGAGCGGACUGAGGUUUUCGCAGCAUGUGCUCUCGGGCAAGGCUGAUUGGGUGCUAUGAGAUCGUUCAGGGUACAAUACAUGUAUUUUGCUCUGUGUCUUUUUUAUACUCGCUCAACUCGGCUCUUCCAUGCUUAGGAUGUUGACAUAAUGGUUUUAAUCGACCCGUCUUGAAACACGGACCAAGGAGUCUAACAUAUAUGCAAGUGUUUGGGUGGCAAACCCAUGCGCGUAAUGAAAGUGAACGUAGGUGCGAUCCGCAAGGUGCAGCAUCGACCGAUCUUGAUAUUUUUGGAUAGAUUUGAGUAAGAGCAUAUAUGCUGGGACCCGAAAGAUGGUGAACUAUGCCUGAAUAGGGUGAAGCCAGAGGAAACUCUGGUGGAGGCUCGUAGCGAUUCUGACGUGCAAAUCGAUCGUCAAAUUUGGGUAUAGGGGCGAAAGACUAA
RNAcentral lists this ribosomal RNA (670 nucleotides) under uncultured fungus. Its description in RNAcentral is "LSU rRNA". It matches the Rfam family "Eukaryotic large subunit ribosomal RNA", at positions 399 to 934 of the family's 3401-position model. The record is from RNAcentral. Lineage: Eukaryota; Fungi.